GUGGGGAAUAUUGGGCAAUGGGCGAAAGCCUGACCCAGCAACGCCGCGUGAAGGAAGAAGGUUUUCGGAUCGUAAACUUCUAUCCUUGGUGAAGAUAAUGACGGUAGCCAAGAAGGAAGCCCCGGCUAACUACGUGCCAGCAGCCGCGGUAAUACGUAGGGGGCAAGCGUUGUCCGGAAUGAUUGGGCGUAAAGGGCGCGUAGGCGGCCCGGUAAGUCUGAAGUGAAAGUCCUGCUUUUAAGGUGGGAAUUGCUUUGGAUACUGUCGGGCUUGAGUGCAGGAGAGGUAAACGGAAUUCCCGGUGUAGCGGUGAAAUGCGUAGAGAUCGGGAGGAACACCAGUGGCGAAGGCGGCUUACUGGACUGUAACUGACGCUGAGGCGCGAAAGUGUGGGGAGCAAACAGGAUUAGAUACCCUGGUAGUCC
RNAcentral lists this ribosomal RNA (425 nucleotides) under uncultured bacterium. Its description in RNAcentral is "partial 16S ribosomal RNA". It matches the Rfam family "Bacterial small subunit ribosomal RNA", at positions 354 to 796 of the family's 1533-position model. The record is from RNAcentral.